UACAGAAGGUGCGAGCGUUAAUCGGAAUUACUGGGCGUAAAGGGUGCGUAGGUGGUUUUGUAAGUUAGGUGUGAAAGUCCUGGGCUUAACCUGGGGAUUGCGCCUAAUACUGCAAAGCUAGAGUACUGUAGAGGAAAGUGGAAUUUCCAGUGUAGCGGUGAAAUGCGUAGAUAUUGGAAGGAACAUCAGUGGCGAAAGCGACUUUCUGGACAGAUACUGACACUGAGGCACGAAAGCGUGGGGAGCAAACAGG
RNAcentral lists this ribosomal RNA (253 nucleotides) under uncultured bacterium. Its description in RNAcentral is "partial 16S ribosomal RNA". It matches the Rfam family "Bacterial small subunit ribosomal RNA", at positions 524 to 776 of the family's 1533-position model. The record is from RNAcentral.